GCGAAAGUCGAAAAAAAACCCCGUCGGCGAAGGCCUCCCCUCGCACCCCUCGAGGCGCUCUAAUUACUCCACCAAGAGCCUGAACGUCUGUCGGGGACCAAUCAGCGGGCAGCCGGGAAGCGGGAGAGCGGCGUUCGUUUGUUUGCGAGGCAAACACUCGCCAGGAGUGAAGUUGUAUUUUCCGCGCGCACAAAAAGCGCGAGGGAGGCGCUACUUCUCUCUCUCAUCUGGAUUCCCACGCUGCUCCCCCAGGGAUGAGCGGGCGCUUCGAGUGACAAGUGACGCGAGUGCAUUCGCACACUUCUCUCUGAACUUUCGGC
Long non-coding RNA from Gasterosteus aculeatus aculeatus (three-spined stickleback), 320 nucleotides. The record is from Ensembl. Lineage: Eukaryota; Metazoa; Chordata; Actinopteri; Perciformes; Gasterosteidae.